This 252-nucleotide ribosomal RNA is filed under the name uncultured bacterium. RNAcentral's name for it is "partial 16S ribosomal RNA". It matches the Rfam family "Bacterial small subunit ribosomal RNA", at positions 524 to 776 of the family's 1533-position model. The record is from RNAcentral.
UACGUAGGUCCCGAGCGUUAUCCGGAUUUAUUGGGUUUAAAGGGUGCGUAGGCGGGAUGCCAAGUCAGCGGUAAAAAUGCGGUGCUCAACGCCGUCAAGCCGUUGAAACUGGCGUUCUUGAGUGGGCGAGAAGUAUGCGGAAUGCGUGGUGUAGCGGUGAAAUGCAUAGAUAUCACGCAGAACUCCGAUUGCGAAGGCAGCAUACCGGCGCCCUACUGACGCUGAGGCACGAAAGCGUGGGUAUCGAACAGG